AGCUUUGCACAGUGGCAGUAUUGUAGCCAGUGAGGUUUAUCCAAGGUGCAAUUAUUGGCCAAUUAAACUAUCUCACUGACCA
RNAcentral lists this small nuclear RNA (82 nucleotides) under Rhinopithecus bieti (black snub-nosed monkey). RNAcentral's name for it is "U4 spliceosomal RNA (ENSRBIG00000009574.1)". The record is from RNAcentral. Lineage: Eukaryota; Metazoa; Chordata; Mammalia; Primates; Cercopithecidae.